This is a long non-coding RNA of Dromaius novaehollandiae (emu), 1182 nucleotides long. RefSeq lists it as uncharacterized. Lineage: Eukaryota; Metazoa; Chordata; Aves; Casuariiformes; Dromaiidae. The transcript is spliced from 6 exons. The record is from RefSeq and is a predicted model, not a curated record.
UCAUCCCAGAACAGUCAGCUAGGAUUGUUUCUGCAAGUCAGAGGCAUCUCCUCUCCUUUGUUUUUAGAAAUGGUUUCAUUGCCUGAAGGUGAACAGCCUUUUGUCUAAAUGCAAUUUUAGCAACAGUACAGUGUUUCAAGAGUGAAACAUUCUGCACGUAAAUGGGUUUUUUGAGUGUUUGUUUACUGAGUUAACAUUCUUAAAAGCUUAAAUCCUAAACCUGGAUUAAGGAUUCUAACCAGAUUGGAGAUGAAGUUUCUUCCAUGCAGAAAAGAAAAGAAAAAAAAAAUCUUUCAGGUAUUCUCAGGGAAGACUACCAUCAGAUUUUUCCCAAGGUAUUGUACAGAUCUUGUUUACCUUGAGUAAUGACAGUUUAAAUUAGGAACUUAACUAGAAAUCUUAUCUCGGAAUUAUUUAAGACAAAGAAAAAGAUUUAUGCAGAAGUAUACCUGACUCUUCUAUGUCUUGGCCUGUGCACUAACAAAACAGAUGGGGAACCAGAAGAACUAAAGGCAAAGGCAUAUGUCCAAGUUGACAAAGCAAGUCUGUGAUGAAGCCUGGAGCUGAAACUAGACACUGACUCGUAUGCUGGCUUAUACCUUAGAAGUCUAUCUUUUGUAUCCAUCCAUAUGCUUCUGAGAUGCUGGUUUUUUACUCCUAAUGUAAGGUUCAGAGUGGAAACAUCCCAUCAAAGAGUUCUUGCAAUCUGUCUGACAGGAUUUCAUCUGUGGUGGCACAUACCGGCUGCUAAGUAAAAGGACAGGAAGCAGGCAACCAAAACUGCAGCCUGUGGGUAGGCAGAUGCCGUUGCCAGUUCGAUCUCAUCCCUGCAAGCCUCAAAUUUCUGCAAAACUGCAGGACUGUUGCUGAGACGUGAAAGAACAGCAGUUUCUGGCAUGUUUCCUAUUGCUGAAAGGAAGAAGCAAACAAGAACAGAGGUAGUGCAAAUCAUGGAGGACAUAACCUGCCUAGAGUGAUGAAAGAGUACAGAUGAUAUAUAUUUUCAAAAGCUAAGAUAAUUCUGCUUGAAAACCUACCCAAAGAAAUGGGCACUUACCUCUUUGGAAAGCAAAAAUAAGGUAACCAUGUCGGCAAUUUUACUAGAGAGUUUUCGCUGUAUCUUCUUUUUCUCUACGUCGGACAUGAGCAAAAUUUGCUAAAAAUAAACAAUGUCUGCAAUCA